AAGUCGUAACAAGGUUUCCGUAGGUGAACCUGCGGAAGGAUCAUUACAGUAAUUGGGUUGUCGCUCAAAGUAGCACGCCCUCCAUACACACACACACACCUUGUGCACUCUAUCUAUUACAGCCUGUCUCUAAUGCAUGUCUUGAUAAAUUCUACGGAAUAGAAUACAA
Molecule: unclassified non-coding RNA, 169 nt
Filed under: plant metagenome
Description: partial contains small subunit ribosomal RNA and internal transcribed spacer 1
Rfam family: Eukaryotic small subunit ribosomal RNA (bases 1-46)
Source: RNAcentral